AUCCACCUGACGAGUCCAAAAUAAGACGAAACGCGCGCCCUGGAU
RNAcentral lists this non-coding RNA (45 nucleotides) under Schistosoma mansoni. The record is from RNAcentral. Lineage: Eukaryota; Metazoa; Platyhelminthes; Trematoda; Strigeidida; Schistosomatidae.